AUUGAACGCUGGCGGCAGGCCUAACACAUGCAAGUCGAGCGGAUGAAGGGAGCUUGCUCCUGGAUUCAGCGGCGGACGGGUGAGUAAUGCCUAGGAAUCUGCCUGGUAGUGGGGGAUAACGUCCGGAAACGGGCGCUAAUACCGCAUACGUCCUGAGGGAGAAAGUGGGGGAUCUUCGGACCUCACGCUAUCAGAUGAGCCUAGGUCGGAUUAGCUAGUUGGUGGGGUAAAGGCCUACCAAGGCGACGAUCCGUAACUGGUCUGAGAGGAUGAUCAGUCACACUACAACUGAGACGCGGUCCAGACUCCUACGGGAGGCAGCAGUGGGGAAUAUUGGACUAUGGGCGAAGGCCUGGUCCAACCAUGCCGCGUGUGUGAAGAAGGUCUUCGGAUUGUAAAGCUCUUUAACUUGGGUGGAAGGGUAGUAAGUUAAUACCUUGCUGUUUUGACGUUACCAACAGAAUAAGCACCGGCUAACUUCGUG
This 484-nucleotide ribosomal RNA is filed under the name uncultured bacterium. Its description in RNAcentral is "partial 16S ribosomal RNA". It matches the Rfam family "Bacterial small subunit ribosomal RNA", at positions 30 to 507 of the family's 1533-position model. The record is from RNAcentral.